UAGGGAAUCUUCCACAAUGGGCGCAAGCCUGAUGGAGCAACACCGCGUGAGUGAAGAAGGGUUUCGGCUCGUAAAGCUCUGUUGUUAAAGAAGAACACGUAUGAGAGUAACUGUUCAUACGUUGACGGUAUUUAACCAGAAAGUCACGACUAACUACAUGCCAG
This 164-nucleotide ribosomal RNA is filed under the name uncultured bacterium. RNAcentral describes it as "partial 16S ribosomal RNA". It matches the Rfam family "Bacterial small subunit ribosomal RNA", at positions 355 to 511 of the family's 1533-position model. The record is from RNAcentral.